Molecule: ribosomal RNA, 252 nt
Filed under: uncultured bacterium
Lineage: Bacteria
Description: partial 16S ribosomal RNA
Rfam family: Bacterial small subunit ribosomal RNA
Source: RNAcentral
UACGUAGGGCGCAAGCGUUAUCCGGAAUUAUUGGGCGUAAAGAGCUCGUAGCGGUUUGUCGCGUCUGCCGUGAAAGUCCGGGGCUCAACUCCGGAUCUGCGGUGGGUACGGGCAGACUAGAGUGAUGUAGGGGAGACUGGAAUUCCUGGUGUAGCGGUGAAAUGCGCAGAUAUCAGGAGGAACACCGAUGGCGAAGGCAGGUCUCUGGGCCACUACUGACGCUGAGAAGCGAAAGCAUGGGGAGCGAACAGG